Molecule: ribosomal RNA, 301 nt
Filed under: uncultured bacterium
Lineage: Bacteria
Description: partial 16S ribosomal RNA
Rfam family: Bacterial small subunit ribosomal RNA
Source: RNAcentral
CAGUCGCCGCGGUAAUACGUAGGGUGCAAGCGUUAAUCGGAAUUACUGGGCGUAAAGCGUGCGCAGGCGGUUUUGUAAGACAGAGGUGAAAUCCCCGGGCUCAACCUGGGAACUGCCUUUGUGACUGCAAGGCUAGAGUACGGCAGAGGGGGAUGGAAUUCCGCGUGUAGCAGUGAAAUGCGUAGAUAUGCGGAGGAACACCGAUGGCGAAGGCAAUCCCCUGGGCCUGUACUGACGCUCAUGCACGAAAGCGUGGGGAGCAAACAGGAUUAGAUACCCGUGUAGUCCCUGUCUCUUAUAU